UAUCACAUUGAUCCUAUUCAAAUUCUCUGCUCUUUUUUUUCUUCUUUUUGUGCCUGAAAGCACAAAAAACGGUAUUGUUAGUUCACAGCAAACAGCCCAGCAAAAUGACCUAGCAUCAGUCCAGCAAAAUGACCCAACAUCAGUCCAGCAAAAUGACCCAGCAUCUGUCCAGCAAAAUGACCCAGCAUCAGUCCAGCAAAAUGACCCAGCAUCAGUCCAGCAAAAUGACCCAGCAUCUGUCCAGCAAAAUGACCCAACAUCAGUCCAGCAAAAUGACCCAGCAUCUGUCCAGCAAAAUGACCCAGCAUCUGUCCAGCAAAAUGACCCAGCAUCAGUCCAGCAAAAUGACCCAUCAUCUGUCCAGCAAAAUGACCCAACAUCAGUCCAGCAAAAUGACCCAGCAUCUGUCCAGCAAAAUGACCCAGCAUCUGUCCAGCAAAAUGACCCAGCAUCAGUCCAGCAAAAUGACCCAGCGUCUGUCCAGCAAAAUGACCCAGCAUCUGUCCAGCAAAAUGACCCAGCAUCUGUCCAGCAAAAUGACCCAGCAUCUGUCCAGCACAAUGACACACCAGUUGGCCUUCAGCAUGAUAUAUCAAUUGGCCAGCAACAUGACACAUCAAUCAACCAAAGAGUCUGGCCUUCUGGGUUUAGACUUCCAGAAUUUCCAGCCGUGUUAAAAAAGGUCUCAGAUUGGGCAAGUGUUGUUCGACUUCAUGUGUACCUACACUUUGCAAUACAUGUGUGCACAGCGCUCAUUCAAAAGUACCCCUCGUUGAGAGGCCACACAGGGAAGGGAUAUGAGUCAUGGCACGGCAUGAUAAAGAAUAAAUACAAAAAAGAACGGCAGCCGCUUGCUCACGUUGCACAAGUACAGGAAAUGCAGAAGAGGUUUGGGAGGCAAGGGGAAAAAAAUUAACCCAGAUGACACCGAAAAUGAAGACCCGACCAGAAUAGCCAAGAUUGAGACUGGUGAGGAUUCCUUCAGUCAAAAGUUACAUGUUGAAAAGAUGCAGGUGGAGUGCCAAAAAAAGAGACCAAACAUAAGUUCCCAACAAGACAAAAUGAAAAGGACUGAAAAAUAGAACUUUUUAUGAAACAACAAGGCACCAAGGACAUCUUAAAACAGUACCCAACAAACAGUACCCGCCAUUAUUUUCGUAGAGAUGAGAAGCAAAUUCGGUAUGGAUGUGGACAGAAACAUUCUGUCCGGAUUCUGCACAAUGGCCAACAAAAUCAUUGCAGAAAUGGAGAGGAGGGGUGUGGUGGUGGAGUUGCUGAAUCGCUACAAGAAGGCACUUCUCUCACACACGGAGGAGGCUCACAAAGUUAAUAAU
Long non-coding RNA from Coregonus clupeaformis (lake whitefish), 1334 nucleotides. RefSeq lists it as uncharacterized. Lineage: Eukaryota; Metazoa; Chordata; Actinopteri; Salmoniformes; Salmonidae. The record is from RefSeq and is a predicted model, not a curated record. The transcript is spliced from 5 exons.